AUUGAACGCUGGCGGCAGGCCUAACACAUGCAAGUCGAGCGGUAGAGAGGUGCUUGCACCUCUUGAGAGUGGCGGACGGGUGAGUAAAGCCUAGGAAUCUGCCUGGUAGUGGGGGAUAACGCUCGGAGACGGACGCUAAUACCGCAUACGUCCUACGGGAGAAAGCAGGGGGACCUUCGGGCCUUGCGCUAUCAGAUGAG
This 200-nucleotide ribosomal RNA is filed under the name uncultured bacterium. RNAcentral's name for it is "partial 16S ribosomal RNA". It matches the Rfam family "Bacterial small subunit ribosomal RNA", at positions 30 to 229 of the family's 1533-position model. The record is from RNAcentral.